ACGCCACUCUGGUGGCAUCGGGCGGAACUAUUAUUAACGAUGGUUUACCAGUGACAAUUGCGAUGCCGUACGACGGUAGAGCCACGCGACGAUAGCGAGCAGACACCUAAAUUAAUGACGGACAACCGACUAGAGAACUGCUUGGUAACGUAGCCGACUGUUAAGUGACUUUCCAGGAAUGGAUUUAGUCGUUGCGCAAUAUGCCAAUGAUCCAAGAGGUCUACGUAGAGUCAAGCGAAUCUGUCACCGUCCUCGUGUUGACAUCGCUCUUCGCUCGGGAAAGGAACAGUGUCGGCCAGUUCUUCGUGCCGUCGUGUCAGUAGUGGUGUGUUUGCAAGUGAUUCCGAGGAUUUUCAUGAUCGGGAUUGAAAUAUUCUUUUAUAGGUUACGAGGCGAAGCAAUCGAGUACCACGUGGAUCGAUUCGCUACUCGUUCGUUGGGGUCUCGUUGGUUUGGAUAAAUAAAAGCACCGGGACGAAUCCAGUUUACGAGCUGAAUGGCGGCGAGGCGUGAGGAUAGGCGGAUUAAUAAAAGAUGAAAUACCGUAGCUGCCUCUGGUAUAUUCUGCGACCAAAUUUUCAACCAAAUUCGAUACCUGAAAAUGGAUGUCAAUACAAAACUUCACAUUCAAGUCGUGGAGUUGUUCGAUUGUUCCCCGUCAGGGAGCAGCAGUAGUAAUCAAGCAUGGCUUCUCUCCGAGCUUCAAGUAAUUGGCAAAAUCAAGGGAAAAUCCUGCAAGAAAUCCGCUAGUUUCCUUGGUACAUACAACCUGAAGUAUCCGUCGUUGGAAAACUGUGCAGAACUCAAAUGGUAAAGGGCUAUAAUGAAACCGGCUAACGAGGCUGGCUACUCUACGUUCCUGUACACGUAAUGAAUGAAGAUAAGCCUAAGUCAUCAACGACUUCUUCUACAGUGUAUACAAUGAAUAGGGCUAGUCAAACACUGCGUGCCGUAUCGUUCAGCAGUUACGAGCAAUGCUAUUAACCUUGAGGAUACAGAAGUUUAAUAGAGGCACAUGCAAGGGACGAUAAUAGAUCCUCCAGGAUUGAUAAUGUUAGCCAAACCAAGAACCCUAUAACCAUCCUUCCUUAUCCAGAAGACCUGACAGGAGUUGAGUAUAUAUGCUGAAGGAUGAUAUCGAUGAGGACCAGGGUUUUCCGCAUGGUUAAAACGGGAUUAGCAGAUGUCAACUUCAGGAUAUCAAGGUCCUUGUGGUAUCUAGGCAUAAUACACUCUGUAGAUGUGUAGUAUCUACAACCAUAGAAAAUCCUUUGAACUUGCUUUUGGACCAGGAUCAGAGUCAAGGAAGUUCCAGAGUUCUUCCUCAUGGUGCUGGCACUACGCCUGCACUAACCUAACCUAACCACUAAAUUCACACAGUACGAUCAAAACGUUAUGGCAACAUACAAGCUUGGGACUACUGUACGACUGGAUGCAGACUUCGCUGUUUGUACAAUGAUGAAACCCGCGCGAGCUCAACGACGUCGCGGAAGAUGCUGCGCCGUCGGGACGUCUUUAGAGCUUUAUGAAUAUGAAUGAAGACGCUCGUGAGGAACACGAAAGUGCGUUUCCGAAAAUCAUUCGGAGACUAUGCACCAACGCAGUUUUAUCAGGUUCGAGAACCCCCAAGGAUUAAAACUAUUACGAAAAUUGGAUAAAAGUAUUUCCGGUCAAUUAUACCGAGAAAUUUGCUCCCACUCGGUCCAGAAUUCUCGGAUAGCGUGAUUCUACGGGAACGCCCAGACUUCCUAUAAUUUCCUAGGGCGCAUAAGGCUAAACUUGUGGGGUAUGGCCAAUUGCUCCCAUUAGAUCGAACGAUUCUAGUCUAUACUACAGUAUACGUAUAUAUACGCAUGUACAGUCAGUUAGAUAUGUACCCAGAGAAUCCUAGUAGGAACACGUAGAUACACCUGUAGAUACCAGGUAGACCAGUAGCUAUACAUACAGACACUGUGUAAUCCUGGAGUGGAACGCACGAACCACAGGAACCAUUAACGACGUCGCCCAUCUAAGUUUACCAAGUGCUCUUUGCCAGUUAGAUUUAAGUCGAUUCAAUAGAAAGCGCGUGAAUCAUAUAACAUCUGCAUAUAGACUUAUACGUAUUUUAUUACCCAUGUCCAAGGAGGUAUGGAUUCUCGAGCAUGCCCUCGGUACCCCUAUAUUCCACUGUAACGGUGUACUGCAAGAUUUUCCAGAUAACUAGUUCCGAGUCCUCGAUGGUUCCCACACGUGACUCAAUUUUCUCAGGAAAAUUGUUAUACAUAGUACCCAACGCGAAAAUGCUAUAGAUAAAUUCUGCAAGACCCCGUAUACUGUGCCAACGAUAUACGCAUAGUACCACAGUGGCUCUGUGACACGAAACAAGGACGUAGACAGAAUAUCGAUAAUCCUUUUGCGCUAAUUCUCACCCUGGUGGCGACUUGGCUACCUAUCGAUUUUUCCCAGGAAUUGGUCGGUCCUCGCCAUUGAAGCUACCACCAGGAUCACCACCACACAGCAAAAGCCCAAUGGCAGUUUCCGGUAAGGAUCAACGGCUGAUUACUUUUCCAGUAAUGAUAUCGCUUGAGAUAGACGCAACGCUUUUCCUCCUCCUGCCACCCUCGCCUUCUCUCACUCUCCAUCUCUUUUCUGCAUGAUGGCCCAAGACGCUCAACUUCGUAGGAAGUAUGGAACCCGAAGAAAAGGAAGAUGAAGAAGGAGCCGUUUACG
Molecule: RNA transcript, 2709 nt
Organism: Cephus cinctus (wheat stem sawfly)
Lineage: Eukaryota; Metazoa; Arthropoda; Insecta; Hymenoptera; Cephidae
Exons: 5
Source: RefSeq, a predicted model, not a curated record